AGAAGCCUGGCCAUCAAUACCUACAACAGUUAUGCAGGCAAGGGAAACAGGCCCUGAAAAUAAGGUAAUGUGGAGUGAGUAGCCUCCAUAUUGAUUAAGAAGGGGACAGAUUUACCCUCUACUGUGAGAGUUACCUAGAGUGUCUGUGAUGGUCCUGUAGGCUUCAUGAGGUGAUCAGGCAGUGUCAGUCUUCAGCUGCUAAGCCGAGAAGAUCUGGGAAGGAGUCAGUCAGAGAGCCUUGGGCCAGAGUUCCAGGGGCUUUGGAAGUGGCUGCCAGAACACGGAGUCCCCUUCGGAAUCCUCGGAGUCAAGCUCUGUGGAAGCAGGAACUGCUUUUGGUUAUCCUUGAAUAAGCAGAAGACAGGUGUUGGAGCUCCAGGCCUCAAAUCCUCACAACACGGCUUUUUCUACAAGCAGAAAAGAACCCAAUCCUCAACCGUGUUUCCUUCACCAGUGAGAACACCUUUCUGAGGAGCUCCCAGGAAGGAACAAAGAUUGAUUCUCUGGCACACAGGUUUCAGACAAGCAACUGUUGGAUUAGAGCAUACAGGGACAUAUAUUGUCCUACUGCCCCCUGUGGUUAGUAUGAUUUGUCUGACUAGCUAGUUAUUAAUAGUUGUCCCCUUCUCCUACCACUUCAAGCCCACUUCAACCAGCUCCUUCCAAAUGCUCAAGAGAAGACUUCAGAAGAAAUUCAAAGUUUUCAAAAUGAUGUUGGAUUGAAAGUUCUGAUGAUGUUCUAUAAACCAAGAGUUUGCAAACUGUGGCCAAAUCCUGCUCACCCUCUGAUUGUGUAUAGCCCCAAGCUAAGAAUGGUUUUUACAUUUUAAAGUAGCUGGAAAAUAUCAAAAGAAGAGUAAUAAUAUUUUGUGACACAUGAAAAUUCAUGAAAUUCAAACUUCAGUGUCCGUAAAUAAAGCUUACUGAAACAGAGC
This 935-nucleotide long non-coding RNA is filed under the name Homo sapiens (human). RNAcentral describes it as "HSALNT0139699". Lineage: Eukaryota; Metazoa; Chordata; Mammalia; Primates; Hominidae. The record is from RNAcentral.